CCUGUGGUUUCAAGAUGGCUGCUAUAUGUUGCACAAGGAGAAAUACAAACCGAAAGAGUUGCAAUGUAAGUAGCAUAUGGAUAAAUCCAGGAAAGAAAUUACCAAUUAAAUACAGGUAAAGUCAUCAGAAUCAUCUCAUUAGGGAGUUCUCCAUCGGGUCAAACGAAUAGCCAAGAAUCUAUCCCCUAGAUGUUUUGGAUCUCUUUCUUGAGCAUCUAGACGUAUUUAGGAACUGCCUAAAGGUAACAAAGCCUCAAAUUUAAUUGAUGUAC
Molecule: long non-coding RNA, 272 nt
Organism: Nematostella vectensis (starlet sea anemone)
Lineage: Eukaryota; Metazoa; Cnidaria; Anthozoa; Actiniaria; Edwardsiidae
Exons: 2
Source: RefSeq, a predicted model, not a curated record